AACGAACGCUGGCGGCAUGCCUAACACAUGCAAGUCGAACGAGACCUUCGGGCCUAGUGGCGCACGGGUGCGUAACGCGUGGGAACCUGCCCUUAGGUUCGGAAUAACUCCCCGAAAGGGGUGCUAAUACCGGAUAAUGUCUUCGGACCAAAGAUUUAUCGCCUUUGGAUGGGCCGGCGUUGGAUUAGCUAGUUGGUAGGGUAAAAGCCUACCAAGGCGACGAUCCAUAGCUGGUCUGAGAGGAUGAUCAGCCACACUGGGACUGAGACACGGCCCAGACUCCUACGGGAAGCAGCAGUGGGGAAUAUUGGACAGUGGGCGAAAGCCUGAUGCAGCAAUGCCGCGUGAGUGAUGAAGGCCUUAGGGUUGUAAAGCUCUUUUACCCGGGAUGAUAAUGACAGUACCGGGAGAAUAAGCUCCGGCUAACUCCGUG
This 433-nucleotide ribosomal RNA is filed under the name uncultured bacterium. RNAcentral's name for it is "partial 16S ribosomal RNA". It matches the Rfam family "Bacterial small subunit ribosomal RNA", at positions 29 to 507 of the family's 1533-position model. The record is from RNAcentral.